This 1019-nucleotide long non-coding RNA is filed under the name Lupinus mutabilis. Its description in RNAcentral is "partial ncRNA". Lineage: Eukaryota; Viridiplantae; Streptophyta; Magnoliopsida; Fabales; Fabaceae. The record is from RNAcentral.
GAAAGACCUAGAUACUAGAUAUAGUGGAUAUUUUAUUACAUUUUGUAUGAAGUCAUGUUUCUCCUCUUGAGAUAAAAUCAGUGUGGGUUCAAUGUCCUUUAUUUGCCAUGGGGUCACAUAUAACUAGUUGUUGGGUUCAUUGAUAAGAAGAAAAAUGAUAAUCUGGCAAUUGGUUGAAUCAACGUUCACUACUAAAUGGCUUCUUCCAAAUCCUUUCUUCUUCAUCUUCUUCUCAUUUCUCUUAUGUUUGUUGCCACAAAGGUGACCUAUGCAAAACCUUUGGUUGCAGUGCCACUAAUAAAGCCAUCACCACCACCAUCUCUGGUGGUUGGAGUUGCCACUCGUACUUUACCACCACCACCACCACCACCAGAGAGAGCACGGUCACCCGUAGUGAGACGUGAUGUUCCACAAGCUCCACCACCAGAUGCACCGCCAUCUCAACCACCAGCUGCACCACCAGCUCCACCACAAGCUCCACCACCAGCUCCACCACCAGCUUCAAUAGGUAAUACUGAAUUUUACAUCAUUUUUUGAUAUCUUAAAUAAUGCUAAACACGAAAAUAAGCCAUGAGUGCAUUAUUGAAGGUGGAGAAUUUACAUCAUCCCUCAUUUAUUUUUUAUCUCUAGAGUAUUUUAAAAAUUGUAUUCAAAAGUAAAUGAUAUUUAAAAAUUAUUAUACAAUUAUCAAAAUAUAUUCAAAGACCUAAAUACUAGAUAUAGUGGAUAUCCUUUAUUUGCCAUGGGGUCACAUAUAUUAAACCAUGCCAUCCACUAAUUAGAAAUGGGAGUAGUUGUUGGGUUCAAAUAAGAGUUGAUGUUGUUUCACCCAUGAAAGAAAUGGCUAGCUAGUUUCAACUACUUGAGUCUCAACUUGUAUUAUAUCAUUCCAUGUACUUAAUUUUUUCAUUCGUGAAAAAAUUUAAAUAUAAAUUAAAAAUAAGGGAAUAUCAUUUACUUAAAAAAUAAGUUAAAAAAACUUGGUUCACAUCUUAUCAUCAUUUCUAAGGAAAUCUAAU